RNAcentral lists this ribosomal RNA (253 nucleotides) under uncultured bacterium. Its description in RNAcentral is "partial 16S ribosomal RNA". It matches the Rfam family "Bacterial small subunit ribosomal RNA", at positions 524 to 776 of the family's 1533-position model. The record is from RNAcentral.
UACGUAGGGUGCAAGCGUUGUCCGGAAUUAUUGGGCGUAAAGAGCUCGUAGGCGGUUCGUCGCGUCGGCUGUGAAAUCCCGGAGCUCAACUCCGGGUCUGCAGUCGAUACAGGCGGACUCGAGUUCGGCAGGGGAGACUGGAAUUCCUGGUGUAGCGGUGAAAUGCGCAGAUAUCAGGAGGAACACCGGUGGCGAAGGCGGGUCUCUGGGCCGUAACUGACGCUGAGGAGCGAAAGCGUGGGGAGCGAACAAG